RNAcentral lists this ribosomal RNA (253 nucleotides) under uncultured bacterium. Its description in RNAcentral is "partial 16S ribosomal RNA". It matches the Rfam family "Bacterial small subunit ribosomal RNA", at positions 524 to 776 of the family's 1533-position model. The record is from RNAcentral.
UACGUAGGGGGCUAGCGUUGUCCGGAAUCAUUGGGCGUAAAGAGCGUGUAGGCGGUCCGGUAAGUCCGCUGUGAAAGUCGGGGGCUCAACCCUCGAAUGCCGGUGGAUACUGUCGGGCUAGAGUGCGGAAGAGGCGAGUGGAAUUCCUGGUGUAGCGGUGAAAUGCGCAGAUAUCAGGAGGAACACCUAUUGCGAAGGCAGCUCGCUGGGACGUUACUGACGCUGAGACGCGAAAGCAUGGGGAGCGAACAGG